UGCGUAGGCGGGCUAAUAAGUCAGUGGUGAAAUCUUCCGGCUCAACCGGGAACCUGCCAUUGAUACUGUUAGUCUUGAGUUCGGUUGAGGUAGGCGGGAUGUGUAAUGUAGCGGUGAAAUGCUUAGAUAUUACACAGAACACCAAUUGCGUAGGCAGCUUACUAGACCGACACUGACGCUGAGGCACGAAAGCGUGGGGAGCGAACAGGAUUAGAUACCCUGGUAGUCC
This 229-nucleotide ribosomal RNA is filed under the name uncultured bacterium. RNAcentral describes it as "partial 16S ribosomal RNA". It matches the Rfam family "Bacterial small subunit ribosomal RNA", at positions 568 to 796 of the family's 1533-position model. The record is from RNAcentral.